Molecule: ribosomal RNA, 253 nt
Filed under: uncultured bacterium
Lineage: Bacteria
Description: partial 16S ribosomal RNA
Rfam family: Bacterial small subunit ribosomal RNA
Source: RNAcentral
UACGGAGGAUUCGAGCGUUAUCCGGAUUUAUUGGGUUUAAAGGGUCCGUAGGCGGGCUUUUAAGUCAGUGGUGAAAUCCCAGAGCUCAACUCUGGAACUGCCAUUGAAACUGGAGGUCUUGAAUUUGGUAGAGGUAGGCGGAAUACGUUAUGUAGCGGUGAAAUGCAUAGAUAUAACGUAGAACACCGAUUGCGAAGGCAGCUUACUAUAGCAAUAUUGACGCUGAUGGACGAAAGCGUGGGGAGCGAACAGG